This 442-nucleotide ribosomal RNA is filed under the name Gulella ugandensis. RNAcentral's name for it is "partial 16S ribosomal RNA". The record is from RNAcentral. Lineage: Eukaryota; Metazoa; Mollusca; Gastropoda; Stylommatophora; Streptaxidae.
AGUUUUAUGAAUAUCUAAUUUAUAUAAAAUAACUCCUGCCCAAUGACUUUUUUAAUGGCCGCAGUACUUUGACUGUGCUAAGGUAGCAUAAUAAAUUGGCUUUUAAAUGAAGUCUGGAAUGAAUGGUGUUUUGGAUUAAGAUUGUCUUUUUUAAUUUUAUUUGAACUUUUUUAUUAGGUGAAAAUACCUUUAUUAUUUAAGUUAGACGAGAAGACCCUUAGAAUUUUUUAAAAUAAAAAUUUGCUUUGUUUGUUUUUUGUUGGGGUGAUAUAUUAACAUAAUUAACUUAUUUUUACUUACAAGACGAAUUUAAUAUUAAGUUUGAUUAAAUUACCUUAGGGAUAACAGCAUAAUUUUUUUUUAAGAUUAUGACCUCGAUGUUGGACUACGAACCUAAUAAUUAGUAAUUAAAUUGGAUAGUUCUGUUCGAACUUUUUUUCCU